UACGGGGGGGGCAAGCGUUGUUCGGAAUUAUUGGGCGUAAAGAGCGUGUAGGCGGCCAGGUAGGUCUGCUGUGAAAACUCGAGGCUCAACCUCGAGACGUCGGCGGAAACCAUCUGGCUAGAGUCCGGAAGAGGAGAGUGGAAUUCCUGGUGUAGCGGUGAAAUGCGCAGAUAUCAGGAGGAACACCAAUUGCGAAGGCAGCUCGCUGGGACGUUACUGACGCUGAGACGCGAAAGCGUGGGGAGCAAACAGG
This 253-nucleotide ribosomal RNA is filed under the name uncultured bacterium. Its description in RNAcentral is "partial 16S ribosomal RNA". It matches the Rfam family "Bacterial small subunit ribosomal RNA", at positions 524 to 776 of the family's 1533-position model. The record is from RNAcentral.